GUGCUCACUUUGGCAGCACAUAUACUAAAAUUUGAACAAUACCGAGAAGAUUAGCAUGGCCCCUGCACAAGGAUAAGACGCAAAUUUGUGAAGCUUUUCAUGCUACA
Small nuclear RNA from Cercocebus atys (sooty mangabey), 107 nucleotides. The record is from Ensembl. NCBI's taxonomy places the organism in Eukaryota, Metazoa, Chordata, Mammalia, Primates, Cercopithecidae.